This 788-nucleotide ribosomal RNA is filed under the name uncultured bacterium. RNAcentral describes it as "bacterial SSU rRNA". It matches the Rfam family "Bacterial small subunit ribosomal RNA", at positions 28 to 785 of the family's 1533-position model. The record is from RNAcentral.
AAUGAACGCUGGCGGCGUGUUUAACACAUGCAAGUCGUACGAGAACUCUUUAGCUUGCUAAAGAUAGUAAAGUGGCGUACGGGUGAGUAACGCGUGGGUAAUCUACCUCCGAAUCGGGGACAACCCGCCGAAAGGCGAGCUAAUACCGGAUAAUAUCCAUAAAAUUUCGGUUUUAAAGAUCAAAGGUGGUCUCUACAUGUAAGCUACUGUUUGGAGAUGAGCCCGCGUACCAUUAGCUUGUUGGUAGGGUAAUGGCCUACCAAGGCUUCGAUGGUUAGCUGGUCUGAGAGGAUGAUCAGCCACACUGGAACUGACACACGGUCCAGACUCCUACGGGAGGCAGCAGUGAGGAAUUUUGCGCAAUGGGGGAAACCCUGACGCAGCAACGCCGCGUGAGUGAUGAAGGCUUUCGGGUCGUAAAGCUCUGUCAAGUGGGAAGAACAUGCUUGAUGCUAAUACCAUUUUGCACUGACGGUACCACUGAAGGAAGCACCGGCUAACUCCGUGCCACCAGCCGCGGUAAUACGGGGGGUGCAAGCGUUAUUCGGAAUUAUUGGGCGUAAAGGGCGCGUAGGCGGUCUUUUAAGUCAGACGUGAAAGCCCGGGGCUUAACCCCGGAAGUGCAUUUGAAACUAAAGGACUUGAGUAUGGGAGAGGGAAGUGGAAUUCCUGAUGUACAAGUGAACUUCGGCAGAUAUCGGGAGGACGUCGGUGGGGGCAGGCGACUUCCUGGCACCAGUGACUGACGCUGACGCGCGAAUGCGUGGGGAGCAAGCAUGAUCACAUAC